This is a long non-coding RNA of Poecilia latipinna (sailfin molly), 460 nucleotides long. RefSeq lists it as uncharacterized. The record is from RefSeq and is a predicted model, not a curated record. The transcript is spliced from 3 exons. Lineage: Eukaryota; Metazoa; Chordata; Actinopteri; Cyprinodontiformes; Poeciliidae.
AAACGGAUGCAAAUGCAACUCAGCUUGUUUUCUCUAAGUCGGUUUAAAAAAAAAAAGUGAUGCAGAAACGUGUGCAGUGUCCAUGGCGAUGGAAUAGCAACAAAUCUUUUUCUAGUUUGGGAUGAUGAUAAGACGUACAUAUUUGAUAAACUUUGAUGCCUAAAACGAGGUGACCAAGUUUGAAUUUGAUGUGAAUUUUUUCACAUCCACACAAGGUUAAAAUGAUUAUUGUCAAAAAGUGUAGGAGCUUCUUAAAGAGACAGGGGGCAAUUUCAAAGAGUCAAACUGUGAAGUCAAAUUUCUUUCAUGUUGGAUAUGAAAAAAAUUUCAUAUCCAACAUGAAAUUAGAUAUGGCAUUUUUUAACACCUGCUUCUUUAAUAGCUACUUGAUUGUGUGUAAAAUGGGUUUAUGUGCCUGAAAUAUACAUAAUAUCGCUCCUUUAGGAACAAACAAACAUUC